Molecule: long non-coding RNA, 1015 nt
Organism: Anthonomus grandis grandis
Lineage: Eukaryota; Metazoa; Arthropoda; Insecta; Coleoptera; Curculionidae
Exons: 2
Source: RefSeq, a predicted model, not a curated record
GUCGUAUUUGACUACGAAUCUUCCUUCAUUUUUUUUGCCUGUUAAGUCCAUGUUGCCACCUAUUACCCGCUUAACACCAGUACUGAAAACAUGGUUGCUUUUAUUUUUUGAAAGAUUUACAGCAAUAGAUAUUUUCACAGGUCCCACAGCAUAAUCAGCUACGACACAUCUGGCUGCGACUUCGGAAAACUGAAAAUAGCGCUCAGCUUCGUACCACUUCCCUAAGAACCUGUUCAUGUCGAAAUGGGGCAUUGGCAGGUAAUCAGGACAAAACCCGAACCCAGGAAUCUGCGCCCGCACCGCACAAACCACAACCGAAAUUAUUAAAUAUAACCGAUUCAUCGUUGAAGAGAUUUUGUUACUCAUUCACUUCGGUCCAGCCUUUAUAUAGCUAAAGUACCGGUACUUUGACUUCUUUUUCCGAACAUCACAUUACCUGAACGUGUUCAAAAGUUCAAGUUAACGUUUUUUUGUAUUAUUCGGUAAAUUAAAUGUAUUAUAUGCGGUUUUUCCUAAGAAAAAGGGUUAAAUUUUUAUCUUUUAGGCAUUUUAUACAAUUAUUUUAAAAAAAAUAUUCAAUCCCCUUGAUUUAUUAUGAAAAAUUGCACAUAUUUUUCAAAUCCCUAUAGGAUCAAUAUUAUUUUUUAUAACAUCUGUGUAUAUGAUAUGGCAGUAUAGUGGAUUAAAUCUUUACCCUAAACUUGAAUAUAUAGUUUACUUUUUAGUUGGUGGAUUUAAUGACUAUUAUUGCAACUUUUUUAAUCGCCCAGGUAAACCGAAAAGAAAUGAGCUGUCAAGAAGGCAAUAUAAAGUUACACAGAAUACAGACCAGUAUCAACAGAUGAGUACGUUAGGUCAAACGGUUCUUAUAAAGAUUUGUUUACAGAAAAGGCAAUGCCCUUAGAUGGCCUGAUGAACUUGCGACCAAAACUUUCCUUUAGGCUUUAAGAUGUUCAUAAUACUUUUUUUAUUAGAUGGUUGUGCAACGUAUUCAAUAAUUAAACUAGUUUUUUAA